RNAcentral lists this ribosomal RNA (462 nucleotides) under uncultured bacterium. RNAcentral describes it as "bacterial SSU rRNA". It matches the Rfam family "Bacterial small subunit ribosomal RNA", at positions 40 to 496 of the family's 1533-position model. The record is from RNAcentral.
CGGCACGCUUCAUACAUGCAAGUCGAGGGGCAGCAUAAAGUACUUGUACUUUGAUGGCGACCGGCGAACGGGUGCGUAACGCGUAUGCAACUUACCUUUUACUAGAGAAUAGCCAAGAGAAAUUUUGAUUAAUGCUCUAUACUCUUUUUAACUCACAUGAGUUUUUAAGAAAAGCUCCGGCGGUAAAAGAUGGGCAUGCGUCCUAUUAGCUUGUAGGUGAGGUAACGGCUCACCUAAGCUCCGAUAGGUAGGGGUCCUGAGAGGGAGAUCCCCCACACUGGUACUGAGACACGGACCAGACUUCUACGGAAGGCAGCAGUAAGGAAUAUUGGACAAUGGAGGAAACUCUGAUCCAGCGAUGCCGCGUGAAGGAAGACGGCCCUAUGGGUUGUAAACUUCUUUUAUACAGGAAGAAACCUUUCCACGUGGGAAAGCUGACGGUACUGUAAGAAUAAGGAUCGG